This 76-nucleotide transfer RNA is filed under the name Deltaproteobacteria bacterium. RNAcentral describes it as "tRNA-His". It matches the Rfam family "tRNA". From Rfam's summary of the family: Transfer RNA (tRNA) molecules are approximately 80 nucleotides in length. Their secondary structure includes four short double-helical elements and three loops (D, anti-codon, and T loops). Further hydrogen bonds mediate the characteristic L-shaped molecular structure. tRNAs have two regions of fundamental functional importance: the anti-codon, which is responsible for specific mRNA codon recognition, and the 3' end, to which the tRNAs corresponding amino acid is attached (by aminoacyl-tRNA synthetases). tRNAs cope with the degeneracy of the genetic code in two manners: having more than one tRNA (with a specific anti-codon) for a particular amino acid; and 'wobble' base-pairing, i.e. permitting non-standard base-pairing at the 3rd anti-codon position. The record is from RNAcentral. Lineage: Bacteria; Pseudomonadati; Myxococcota; Myxococcia.
GUGAGUGUAGCUCAGCCGGUAGAGCGCUGGACUGUGGCUCCAGAGGUCGGGGGUUCGAGGCCCCUCACUCACCCCA